UGAAGAACUCCAGAGAAGAGUCUCGUACUUCCCAGCAAGGACUGCACAAACGCUUCUGCAGCACCAGGAACACCUCUGUGAAAGCCAAGCAGGAGGGAGGAAUUGAGAUGAAAGGGAGAAGAUGCCACUGGAUUUCUCAGGUGCACAACAGAUGAGGCAACACCUUAAACAGCAAUAAGGCAGAGUCCAACUGGAUACAUGGGAAAAUACUUUUCAUAGUGAGACUGUAAAGAACUGGAACUGGUUUCCCAGAGCAGCUAUGGAAUCCCCACCCUUUGGGAUAUUUGAAACUGGAUUGGUGAAGGCCCUGAGCAACCCAAUCCAUCUCUAAAUGCAGUCCUGCAAUGUAUAAGAAGUCAGAUUAGAUCACCUAUACUGCUUCCUUCCAAAUUAAGUUUUCCUACUGUUGACAGAGAUGCACGAUGUGUGCAAGAUGCACACUUCUGUUGGACAGUGGUUCAAGUUGUUACACUUGUUAGUGCUCAUGUGAAAAGUAACCAAAUACUUCUAAAUUUGACAGUCAAAAUAUCCAUCUUAAACAACCUUGGCCUUAAAAAGUUAAAGGAGCUUUGAUUUUCUGUCCGAAAUUGCUGUCUGUAGGUAAGAUACAAAAGGGCAUGUGUGUGAACAUGA
Molecule: long non-coding RNA, 633 nt
Organism: Tympanuchus pallidicinctus (lesser prairie-chicken)
Lineage: Eukaryota; Metazoa; Chordata; Aves; Galliformes; Phasianidae
Exons: 2
Source: RefSeq, a predicted model, not a curated record